AAACCCUUGAAUGAGUAGGUGUUCUAAAACCCUUGAAUGAGUAGGUGUUCUAAAACCCUGGAAUGAGUAGGUGUUCUAAAACCCUGGAAUGAGUAGGUGUUCUAAAACCCUUGAAUGAGUAGGUGUUCUAAAACCCUUGAAUGAGUAGGUGUUCUAAAACCCUUGAAUGAGUAGGUGUUCUAAAACCCUUGAAUGAGUAGGUGUUCUAAAACCCUUGAAUGAGUAGGUGUUCUAAAACCCUUGAAUGAGUAGGUGUUCUAAAACCCUUGAAUGAGUAGGUGUUCUAAAACCCUUGAAUGAGUAGGUGUUCUAAAACCCUGGAAUGAGUAGGUGUUCUAAAACCCUUGAAUGAGUAGGUGUUCUAAAACCCUUGAAUGAGUAGGUGUUCUAAAACCCUUGAAUGAGUAGGUGUUCUAAAACCCUG
Molecule: long non-coding RNA, 424 nt
Organism: Oncorhynchus keta (chum salmon)
Lineage: Eukaryota; Metazoa; Chordata; Actinopteri; Salmoniformes; Salmonidae
Exons: 3
Source: RefSeq, a predicted model, not a curated record